UUUAUUUGACACCGUUGACUUUUUAGCACAUGUUUGACCGCUCGUCUUAUUCAAAAAAUUUAAAUAAUUAUUAAUUCUUUUGCUAUCAUUUGAUUCAUCGUUAAAUAUACUUUUUAUGCAUACGUAUAGUUUUACAUAUUUCACAAAAGUUUUUGAAUAAGACGAACGGUCAAACAUGUGCUAAAAAGUCAACGGUGUCAAAUAAA
Oryza sativa Indica Group (long-grained rice) is the source of this 206-nucleotide microRNA precursor. It matches the Rfam family "MIR812 microRNA precursor family". The record is from Rfam. Lineage: Eukaryota; Viridiplantae; Streptophyta; Magnoliopsida; Poales; Poaceae.